GUGCCAGCAGCCGCGGUAAUACGUAGGGGGCGAGCGUUGUCCGAAGUUACUGGGCGUAAAGCGCGCGUAGGCGGGUUAUUAAGUUGGAUGUGAAAUCUCUGGGCUCAACCCGGAAACCGCAUCCAAAACUGUUAGCCUUGAGGUAUGGAGAGGGAAGUGGAAUUCCUGGUGUAGCGGUGAAAUGCGUAGAUAUCAGGAGGAACACCCGUGGCGAAGGCGGCUUCCUGGCCAUAUCCUGACGCUGAGGUGCGAAAGCUAGGGGAGCGAACGGGAUUAGAUACCCCGGUAGUCCUAGCCGUAAACGAUGGAUACUAGGUGUUAGUGGUAUCGACCCCACUAGUGCCGUAGCUAACGCAAUAAGUAUCCCGCCUGGGGAGUACGGCCGCAAGGUUGAA
RNAcentral lists this ribosomal RNA (395 nucleotides) under uncultured bacterium. Its description in RNAcentral is "bacterial SSU rRNA". It matches the Rfam family "Bacterial small subunit ribosomal RNA", at positions 505 to 898 of the family's 1533-position model. The record is from RNAcentral.